This 22-nucleotide microRNA is filed under the name Saccoglossus kowalevskii. Its description in RNAcentral is "sko-miR-4842". The record is from miRBase by way of RNAcentral. Lineage: Eukaryota; Metazoa; Hemichordata; Enteropneusta; Harrimaniidae.
UAGUAUGUUGUAAGGUUUUCUC